GAUGAACGCUGGCGGCGUGCUUAACACAUGCAAGUCGAACGAUGAAGCCCAGCUUGCUGGGUGGAUUAGUGGCGAACGGGUGAGUAACACGUGAGUAUCCUGCCCUUAACUCUGGGAUAUGCCUUGGAGACUGGGGCUAAUACCGGAGAGGAGAGCCCACCGCAUGGUGGGUGUUGGAGAGAUUUAUCGGUUUUGGAUGGACUCGCGGCCUAUCAGCUUGUUGGUGAGGUAAUGGCUCACCAAGGCGACGACGGGUAGCCGGCCUGAGAGGGUGACCGGCCACACUGGGACUGAGACACGGCCCAGACUCCUACGGGAGGCAGCAGUGGGGAAUAUUGCACAAUGGGCGCAAGCCUGAUGCAGCGACGCCGCGUGAGGGAUGACGGCCUUCGGGUUGUAAACCUCUUUCAGUAGGGAAGAAGCGAAAGUGGCGGUACCUGCAGAAGAAGCACCGGCUAACUACGUG
This 466-nucleotide ribosomal RNA is filed under the name uncultured bacterium. RNAcentral's name for it is "partial 16S ribosomal RNA". It matches the Rfam family "Bacterial small subunit ribosomal RNA", at positions 28 to 507 of the family's 1533-position model. The record is from RNAcentral.